RNAcentral lists this ribosomal RNA (555 nucleotides) under Escherichia coli. RNAcentral describes it as "partial 23S ribosomal RNA". It matches the Rfam family "Bacterial large subunit ribosomal RNA", at positions 1 to 586 of the family's 2925-position model. Lineage: Bacteria; Pseudomonadati; Pseudomonadota; Gammaproteobacteria; Enterobacterales; Enterobacteriaceae. The record is from RNAcentral.
GGGUUGUGAGGUUAAGCGACUAAGCGUACACGGUGGAUGCCCUGGCAGUCAGAGGCGAUGAAGGACGUGCUAAUCUGCGAUAAGCGUCGGUAAGGUGAUAUGAACCGUUAUAACCGGCGAUUUCCGAAUGGGGAAACCCAGUGUGAUUCGUCACACUAUCAUUAACUGAAUCCAUAGGUUAAUGAGGCGAACCGGGGGAACUGAAACAUCUAAGUACCCCGAGGAAAAGAAAUCAACCGAGAUUCCCCCAGUAGCGGCGAGCGAACGGGGAGGAGCCCAGAGCCUGAAUCAGUGUGUGUGUUAGUGGAAGCGUCUGGAAAGGCGCGCGAUACAGGGUGACAGCCCCGUACACAAAAAUGCACAUAUUGUGAGCUCGAUGAGUAGGGCGGGACACGUGGUAUCCUGUCUGAAUAUGGGGGGACCAUCCUCCAAGGCUAAAUACUCCUGACUGACCGAUAGUGAACCAGUACCGUGAGGGAAAGGCGAAAAGAACCCCGGCGAGGGGAGUGAAAAAGAACCUGAAACCGUGUACGUACAAGCAGUGGGAGCACGCUU